Non-coding RNA from Vicia faba (fava bean), 201 nucleotides. The record is from the annotation of a GenBank genome assembly. Lineage: Eukaryota; Viridiplantae; Streptophyta; Magnoliopsida; Fabales; Fabaceae.
AUGAAAGUUCACAUUGAAAUUAGUCAGUCACAACAAGUUACAUUAGAUGUAGAUCAUCAUCACAACAAAUCAAGCAAACCAACCACCAACAUUGAACUAUCGAACAAUAAUCAUCUAACCUUAAAGUAUUUAAUGCUAACAGAACAAAAAUGCUACAUGCAUAAACUCUCUAUCAAGUGUAGAUCUUAUAUUUUUCUAUAA